UGGGGAAUAUUGCACAAUGGGGGAAACCCUGAUGCAGCGACGCCGCGUGAACGAAGAAGGUAUUCGUAUCGUAAAGUUCUGUCCUAUGGGAAGAUAAUGACAGUACCAUAGAAGAAAGCUCCGGCUAAAUACGUGCCAGCAGCCGCGGUAAUACGUAUGGAGCGAGCGUUGUCCGGAAGUAUUGGGCGUAAAGGGUACGCAGGCGGUUUAAUAAGUCGAAUGUUAAAGAUCGGGGCUCAACCCCGUAAAGCAUUGGAAACUGAUAAGCUUGAGUAGUGGAAAGGAAAGUGGAAUUCCUAGUGUAGUGGUGAAAUACGUAGAUAUUAGGAGGAAUACCAGUAGCGAAGGCGACUUUCUGGACACAAACUGACGCUGAGGUACGAAAGCGUGGGGAGCAAACGGG
This 403-nucleotide ribosomal RNA is filed under the name bacterium. Its description in RNAcentral is "partial 16S ribosomal RNA". It matches the Rfam family "Bacterial small subunit ribosomal RNA", at positions 355 to 776 of the family's 1533-position model. The record is from RNAcentral.